UAUGGGAUUUAAGUCAUAUUUUAAGAUUUGUGAUGUUUUUAUAUUAUAUGUCAUAAGUAUAUGACAUUGGUUUAUUCUCAUAAAUUCUUAGACCAUGCCACGUAGGCAGAUGACGUGGCGCUGAAUUGGCAGGUCAAUAAAUAUCAUAAUAAUAUUCAAAAACGCCUGUUAAGACCUAUAUGGUUGACAUGCUUUAAUUGGACCGAGAAUAUUUUGGAGGCUUUUUGGGCCAAGCUUAUUUCGGGGAUUUUUUUUGGGGGAGCGGAUCCAUUUAACUGACAUGAAUUUAAUAUAUGACCCAUUAUAUUUAACCAUACCAUAUUUAAUUGGGUAUAGCCCAUUUGUGCAACCCACAAAAUUUUUACUUGCUCAGCCCACACAUAUCUUGACUUGAUCAGUCAACUCAUUUCAACCCAUAUAAGAAAGAUUACAGCCUAAUCAUCCAGCAACACAUAUACGCUCAGAUUGAUAUAGUACGUGUUUACAUUCAAUACAAAAUCAGCAUUCACGAAACUACUGGAAAUACAUGCUCAUAUAUGGAAAUGCAAGGAGCUUUACAUAAUUACAUUGCUCUGCCCUAAAGCAUGAACAAAACCUGCUAGAUGUUGAUGUCAACGUAUUUGAUGGGAGAUUGUACCGGUGCUUAGCACUAAAGAUUAGACAAAAAAUAAUAAGCCAGCAGUCCUCUUCAUCGGCUGCAUACGUACGGCUGCUGGGAGUGAAAUUAAAGAAAAAUACUGCUCAAGGCCUGAAAUCUCAAAUUGAAAUUAAUCGUCAAGCAUGUAGGCAUGUCCUCCACAACAUUCUCUCUAAUUGAAAUUAAUCAUCAAAUUUAAAUUAAUCAUUAGGAGAACUUUAUUCUAGAUCUAAAAUAACAAAUUAUAGAUCAAUGUAAUUUUUAUUGUAAUAUCUAUAAAAACCAGAAAUAGAAAUAUAAAUAAAAAAAGUAUAAAAUAUAUCGAAAUAGAUAAAAAGAAAUAACAUAACAUAGUUAAUGCAAAAGACAGACUACAGCGAAGUAGAGUAAAAUAAAGAAGC
RNAcentral lists this long non-coding RNA (1038 nucleotides) under Sorghum bicolor (sorghum). Its description in RNAcentral is "long non-coding RNA (SBIC_LNC013761)". Lineage: Eukaryota; Viridiplantae; Streptophyta; Magnoliopsida; Poales; Poaceae. The record is from RNAcentral.